CCUACGGGAGGCAGCAGUAGGGAAUCUUCCGCAAUGGACGAAAGUCUGACGGAGCAACGCCGCGUGAACGAUGAAGGCCUUCGGGUCGUAAAGUUCUGUUGUUAGGGAAGAACAAGUGCUAGUUGAAUAAGCUGGCACCUUGACGGUACCUAACCAGAAAGCCACGGCUAACUACGUGCCAGCAGCCGCGGUAAUACGUAGGUGGCAAGCGUUGUCCGGAAUUAUUGGGCGUAAAGCGCGCGCAGGCGGUUUCCUAAGUCUGAUGUGAAAGCCCCCGGCUCAACCGGGGAGGGUCAUUGGAAACUGGGAAACUUGAGUGCAGAAGAGGAAAGUGGAAUUCCAAGUGUAGCGGUGAAAUGCGUAGAGAUUUGGAGGAACACCAGUGGCGAAGGCGACUUUCNGGUCUGUAACUGACGCUGAGGCGCGAAAGCGUGGGGAGCAAACAGGAUUAGAUACCCUGGUAGUCCACGCUGUAAACGAUGAGUGCUAAGUGUUAGAGGGUUUCCGCCCUUUAGUGCUGAAGUUAACGCAUUAAGCACUCCGCCUGGGGGAGUACGGUCGCGAGACGUGAACGUACAACGUAGAGUUAGUACGGCGUGAGACGUCGCCGACGGACGACGACGAGGGAGGUUAGG
RNAcentral lists this ribosomal RNA (635 nucleotides) under uncultured bacterium. RNAcentral's name for it is "bacterial SSU rRNA". The stretch from base 1 to 545 matches the Rfam family "Bacterial small subunit ribosomal RNA", at positions 338 to 873 of the family's 1533-position model. The record is from RNAcentral.